CGAACGGGUGAGUAACACGUGACCAACCUGCCCCAUACACCGGGAUAACCAGUGGAAACGCUGGCUAAUACCGGAUACUCUUCGGAUGUCGCAUGGCAUCCGAAGGAAAGCUCUCGCGGUAUGGGAUGGGGUCGCGGCCCAUUAGGUAGACGGCGAGGUAGAGGCUCACCGUGCCUGCGAUGGGUAGCCGGGUUGAGAGACCGACCGGCCACAUUGGGACUGAGAUACGGCCCAGACUCCUACGGAAGGCAGCAG
This 255-nucleotide ribosomal RNA is filed under the name uncultured bacterium. RNAcentral's name for it is "partial 16S ribosomal RNA". It matches the Rfam family "Bacterial small subunit ribosomal RNA", at positions 99 to 354 of the family's 1533-position model. The record is from RNAcentral.